This 462-nucleotide ribosomal RNA is filed under the name uncultured bacterium. RNAcentral's name for it is "partial 16S ribosomal RNA". It matches the Rfam family "Bacterial small subunit ribosomal RNA", at positions 28 to 507 of the family's 1533-position model. The record is from RNAcentral.
GACGAACGCUGGCGGCGUGCUUAACACAUGCAAGUCGAGCGGAAAGGCCCUUCGGGGUACUCGAGCGGCGAACGGGUGAGUAACACGUGAGUAACCUGCCCCAGACUUUGGGAUAACCCUCGGAAACGGGGGCUAAUACCGGAUACGACACAGCUUCGCAUGGGGUCUGUGUGGAAAGUUUUUCGGUUUGAGAUGGGCUCGCGGCCUAUCAGCUUGUUGGUGGGGUGAUGGCCUACCAAGGCGACGACGGGUAGCCGGCCUGAGAGGGCGACCGGCCACACUGGGACUGAGACACGGCCCAGACUCCUACGGGAGGCAGCAGUGGGGAAUAUUGCACAAUGGGCGGAAGCCUGAUGCAGCGACGCCGCGUGAGGGAUGACGGCCUUCGGGUUGUAAACCUCUUUCAGCAGGGACGAAGCGUAAGUGACGGUACCUGCAGAAGAAGCGCCGGCCAACUACGUG